Long non-coding RNA from Homo sapiens (human), 4020 nucleotides. RefSeq lists it as uncharacterized. NCBI's taxonomy places the organism in Eukaryota, Metazoa, Chordata, Mammalia, Primates, Hominidae. The record is from RefSeq and is marked validated. The transcript has a single exon.
CUGAGGGAACGCCCCGGGGAGCCCUUCCGGGCCCCGACGGCUGCGGGCCCCGGAGCCAAGAGAAGAAGCAGGUCCCAGGGCCGACUCCGCAGCAGCAUCUCCAGCUUUGUCCGGGAAGCAGAGGCCGCCGCCGGCCACAGUCGUGGGUGAGAAGAAGGGCGCGAGGCGGCCGGGGCUCCUGCCGGGCACCCCAAGUACGCGCCGGGCUUCUCCAUGACAGCUGCGGCCCGGGCUGCCUGGGGCCUGGGACUCCGGCGCGGUCCGGCCGCGAGAAAGGCAGGCGCUGCCCCAGUGGGGAAGGGGCAAGGCUGCGGCUCCGGCCACCGGGCGGGGGCACAGAAACGACCCCGGCGCCGUCUGAGCGCCCAGCUCCGUUCCUGCCGCGGCCAAAAGACACCCGAGAGCGCCGGCGGCUGGGGGACCACAGGGCCCUGGAACUCACCAGGCGGCCUCGCGGCGCAAAAGCGGGCGGAGCCAGAGAAGGGGCUCGGCUAGGCGGCCACGCUCCCUCCCCGGAGGGCGGCGGGACUCGGAUUUCGCCUCUGGUUUAAAAAUUGUGCCUGCGGAGCCCAGGACGCUGGGAGGAGCGUUCUGCGCUCCUCCGGUCGCGGUCUCCGCACUAAACCGACUUCCAGAGCCGCCUCUGCUCCCUGUAGUGGCGGAGGGGCGGGCACCGAAGUCCCACCAAGUCGCAGGUCCUCAGCCUGGGGCAUGCUUGCUAUGCUCCGGAUGCAGGGGGGUACUCUGCCUCUCUGCUCCCUGGGGGCCAAGGCGUGCGCUGCAGGCUGGAGCUGCGGCUCCGAGGCUUCCAGGAGCCCCGGCCCCGCCGUCGGUGGAGAAACGCUGGGGGCUUCGAGGUCGCGGCUUCCGGAAAUCCGGUUACUGAGCGGAGUUGGGGGUCAGGUUCCAAAGGGAUAGCGCCCCGGGUUGUAAUCACCAUCUGGCCCGCCGCUCCUGCCGCCGCGAGUCUACAGCGGAGCUAUUGGGUGGACCAAGCGGGUGAGGCGCGGGCAGGCAGCGGCUCCGCCUCGUAAUCCUCCUCCGACCGGUGCCCAGGGGCUGGCCCCACCUUUCCCUCGGUCACCCACCAACGCCGCUCCCUCGAUCCCCAGCACCCCUCCAGGCCCAGUUCGCUUCAGAGGCGCGAGACCCGGAAAACAAGGAAGAAGCGAGCUCAGCCUCAAUCCCCGUCCCCACCCCACUUUCGGGGCCGCUGCGCUGGAGAAUUGAAGGGGGCGGACCCCGGAUUAAAGCCGCUCCCUUCCCAGCCUCGCUCCUCUUUCCUUCUGUCCGUGAUGAUUUCUUUAUUGUCAGGCGAGAGCCAGGCUCCCCGCGCUCACGGGACCGGGCGGUUGGGAGCGGGUUCUGGAGCUCACGCCUGGCGUCGGCGGAGGUGACCCCAGCGCCCUCGCCCGUGCAGGGGAAACAGCUGGUUCCCGCCCGGAUGGGGAAACCUGGACUGCGUGGGCUCGGGCGCCUGGCAGGCAUGCGGGGCCUCUAAGGCUUGGCCACUGUCACGGGUCCUGUGGUUGUUGCUUCUCCCCUCGCCACGCCCUUCUCCUGGGACGGAGAUUCAUUCCCUGGCGGGUGUCGGGGACCUGGGCGCAGAUUCAUUCCCUGGUGGGUGUCGGGGACCUGGCGCUCUUGCAGGGACGCCCCCCGGAGUCUGAUACGUGGACUUUAAGAUCAGACGCUUCGGGGCCGGGCUGGGAAAAACUGGCGGAAAAUAUUACAACUCUACUCUCAAUGCCAGGCUGUUGUAGAAGCUCCUGGGACAAGCCGUGAAGUCUCCGCAGGAGGCUUCAGAGAUAUACUAGGCGGCUGCUCAGUUCGCCAAGGACUUUUCCAUUGACUCACAAGCGCCGCCUGGAGGAGGAGGCCGCGCUGGACGCGCCGGCGGCGCCUUUGCCUGGGGGAGCGCAGCCCGGAGCUGUGGCGUGGCCGCGCUGGGAGCGGCGUGUCAGAGGCUGGGCCUGGGGACCCGAGGUUGGGCGGGGCGCAGGAGGUGGGCUCAGGGCUCUCCAGAGCACUCCCCUGAGCUGACCCGCAGGACUGCCGGGCCAGUAGGCACGGGGCCCGCGCGGUGACCUGCGGCCUCGAGGCUGGAGCAGCCACUGCAAACGCCGCGCUGGCCCCAAACACUGCGUCCUUGAAAUGUUUUAAUUAAGAAUAAUUAAUAGGGCCGGGAGUGGAGGCUCAAGCCUGAAUCCCCAGCACCUGGCGAGGCCGAGGAGGGAGGAUCCCUUGAGCCCAGAGGUUCAAGACUAGCCUGGGCAACACAGUCAGACUCCAUCCCUACAAAACAAACAAACGAAAAUAAAACAAACGAAACGAAAUGAAAUUAGCCCGGCGUGGUGGCGCGGGCCUGUGGUCCCAGCUCCUCGGGAGGCUGAAGCAGGAAGAUGGCUUGCGACCGCACCACUGCGCUCCAGCCUGGGAGACAGAGCAAGACCCUGUCUCGAAAAAUGUGUAUGUCUGGGUAAAUGUAUAGAUUUUAAAACUAUUUUGAAGGCGGCCUUUUUAACUCUAAACUGACCACUCUGGAGGAGACGCCUGACCCAGAGCGCUUUCCCUAAAGUUCGGUGCCCAAAGUGCACCUUCCCAUGGUUGGGGUCUCUGCCUUUCGCCAAGCCUUGCCUCUUGCAGAGGUGGGCUCCAUAGUGUCUCCCGCUCCGCCCCAACUGGAGAACAGUGUAAAUUGUCGGCCGGGCGCGGGACCUCAUGCCUGUAAUACCAGCACUUUGGGUGGCUGAGGCGGGCAGAUCGCUUGAGGUCAGGAGGUCGACACCAACCUGCCUAAACAUGGUGAAACCCCGUCUCUACUAAAACUACAAAAAUUAGCCGGGCGUGGUGGCGGGCGCCUGUAAUCCCAGCUACUCAGGAGUCUGAGGCAGCAGAAUUGCUUGAAUCCGGGAGGCGGAGGUUGUAGUGAGCCGAGAUCGCGCCACCGCACUCCAGCCUGGGCAACAAGAGUGAGACCGCGUCUUAAAAAAAAAAAAAAAAAAAAAAGAAUUGUCAACCAGAGGGAGCGGCAAUUCAGAAGCACGCUGAAGCCAAGUCCUCAAGACUAGAAAGCAUGAAGCAGGGGAGGCGUUUUGAAAGCUUAAGGACAAAAGACCAUGGGCCUGGAUGGCUGAUUCCGGGAUCGGCAUCGUAAUUUGUUGAGAAGGAGGCCGUGCUGUGCUGCCAGUUAUUAAUGGGUUUAAUCGGUUGAUACACAGCCCUACUGGCCUAACCAGUAGCCCAGGGCCCGAGAGGAUUUGCAGGUCGUGUCAGAAUUUGAUUGAAGUUCCUUCCACUUGGCAUAAGGAGACACCAUCAGCCUGAUUGAGAGGGUCAUGGUGAGAUGGAGCCCGCCAAGGUGGCAGCGCUGAGCUGACCACGCCACGGACCAUAGAGUGGGAGCCUUUCCUGCCCCCUUAACCGCAGCUAACAUCAAAAGCACUGGUAUGGGCUGUCUAACUGGAACCUGAGUUGGUCUUUGUAAUUACGAUUCUUUUGGGUUUAUUUUGCCAGUUCAUUAUCCACCCCCCUGAAAUCAGGCCUCCCAAAUUUAGCAGGUGCUGGGGAGGACCCCAGGGAGUGGCUUGUGGGGGCUAGCUGGUGAAACUACCCUUUCCUUUCUGUUCUAUGAGUGUGAUGGUGUUUGAGAAAUAUGGGGCUAUGGUUCAGGCGCACUUCACAUGUGCAAAGAUGGAGAAAGCACUCACCUGCACAUUUAGGCUCAGAAUAUUGAUUGAAACAUUUUGAAAUAUCAAAAAUAAAAUGUUAUUUUUAAAGUUUCUCUGAGAUUUCGCUUAAGUUUUGGUAGAUAUUCUUAAAUUUUAGUGACCUCAGUUUGGGAAUUCAGUAAGCCAAAUAUUGUAUCCUUAUUAUUAGUUAUAUAGAACUAUGCCUUAGACUUUGUUAGAAACUUCUGCUUCAGCUUGACUGACUCAUUUUCCAUUUCUGGUUGUACAAAAUGAACUGACACUUUAAUGCUGUGGCCACCUUUAAAUAAAGUACAAUGUGACAAAAAAA